CAAGACCGCGUGAGGGAGGAAGGCUCUUGGGUUGUAAACCUCUUUUCUCAGGGAAGAAGCUCUGACGGUACCUGAGGAAUCAGCCUCGGCUAACUCCGUGCCAGCAGCCGCGGUAAUACGGAGGAGGCAAGCGUUAUCCGGAAUUAUUGGGCGUAAAGCGUCCGCAGGUGGCGAUUCAAGUCUGCUGUCAAAGCACGGGGCUUAACUCCGUUAAGGCAGUGGAAACUGAAUAGCUAGAGUGCCGUAGGGGUAGAGGGAAUUCCCGGUGUAGCGGUGAAAUGCGUAGAGAUCGGGAAGAACAUCGGUGGCGAAAGCGCUCUACUGGACGGCAACUGACACUCAGGGACGAAAGCUAGGGGAGCGAAUGGGAUUAGAUACCCCAGUAGUC
This 388-nucleotide ribosomal RNA is filed under the name uncultured cyanobacterium. RNAcentral describes it as "bacterial SSU rRNA". It matches the Rfam family "Bacterial small subunit ribosomal RNA", at positions 392 to 795 of the family's 1533-position model. Lineage: Bacteria; Bacillati; Cyanobacteriota. The record is from RNAcentral.